Molecule: ribosomal RNA, 253 nt
Filed under: uncultured bacterium
Lineage: Bacteria
Description: partial 16S ribosomal RNA
Rfam family: Bacterial small subunit ribosomal RNA
Source: RNAcentral
UACAGAGGGGGCAAGCGUUGUCCGGAUUGACUGGGCGUAAAGCGCACGUAGGUGGCGCGCUAAGACUGGUGUGAAAUCGCGGGGCUUAACCCCGCGGCGCCACUGGUGACUGGCGUGCUCGAGCCUGGCAGAGGUGGGUGGAAUUGCCGGUGUAGUGGUGAAAUGCGUAGAGAUCGGCAGGAACACCAAGGGCGAAAGCAGCCCACUGGGCCAGUGCUGACACUGAGGUGCGACAGCGUGGGGAGCGAACAGG